CCUACGGGAGGCAGCAGUGAGGAAUAUUGGUCAAUGGGCGCAAGCCUGAACCAGCCAAGUAGCGUGAAGGAUGACUGCCCUACGGGUUGUAAACUUCUUUUAUAGGGGAGUAAAGUGAGGCACGUGUGCCUUUUUGUGUGUACCUUAUGAAUAAGGAUCGGCUAACUCCGUGCCAGCAGCCGCGGUAAUACGGAGGAUCCGAGCGUUAUCCGGAUUUAUUGGGUUUAAAGGGAGCGUAGAUGGGUUGUUAAGUCAGUUGUGAAAGUCUGGGGCUCAACCGUAAUAUUGCAAUUGAUACUGGCAGUCUUGAGUGCAGGUGAGGUAGGCGGAAUUCGUGGUGUAGCGGUGAAAUGCUUAGAUAUCACGAAGAACUCCGAUUGCGAAGGCAGCUUACUAGACUGCCACUGACGUUGAUGCUCGAAAGCGUGGGUAUCAAACAGGAUUAGAUACCCGAGUAGUC
This 460-nucleotide ribosomal RNA is filed under the name uncultured bacterium. Its description in RNAcentral is "partial 16S ribosomal RNA". It matches the Rfam family "Bacterial small subunit ribosomal RNA", at positions 338 to 795 of the family's 1533-position model. The record is from RNAcentral.